CCUACGGGUGGCAGCAGUGAGGAAUAUUGGUCAAUGGACGAGAGUCUGAACCAGCCAAGUAGCGUGAAGGAUGACUGCCCUAUGGGUUGUAAACUUCUUUUAUAUGGGAAUAAAACGUUCCACGUGUGGGAUUUUGUAUGUACCAUAUGAAUAAGGAUCGGCUAACUCCGUGCCAGCAGCCGCGGUAAUACGGAGGAUCCGAGCGUUAUCCGGAUUUAUUGGGUUUAAAGGGAGCGUAGGUGGAUUGUUAAGUCAGUUGUGAAAGUUUGCGGCUCAACCGUAAAAUUGCAGUUGAAACUGGCAGUCUUGAGCACAGUAGAGGUGGGCGGAAUUCGUGGUGUAGCGGUGAAAUGCUUAGAUAUCACGAAGAACUCCGAUUGCGAAGGCAGUUCACUGGACUGCAACUGACACUGAGGCUCGAAAGUGUGGGUAUCAAACAGGAUUAGAUACCCUAGUAGUC
Molecule: ribosomal RNA, 460 nt
Filed under: uncultured bacterium
Lineage: Bacteria
Description: partial 16S ribosomal RNA
Rfam family: Bacterial small subunit ribosomal RNA
Source: RNAcentral